UCAGACAUGGUGUACGGUACACGGCCCCUGACUAUAUUAAACUAAGUGUGUGACAAGGAGGCAGUGCGGGGUUCGACUCCCCGUGUCUGAA
Mycena leptocephala is the source of this 91-nucleotide non-coding RNA. The record is from the annotation of a GenBank genome assembly. NCBI's taxonomy places the organism in Eukaryota, Fungi, Basidiomycota, Agaricomycetes, Agaricales, Mycenaceae.